RNAcentral lists this long non-coding RNA (397 nucleotides) under Setaria viridis. Its description in RNAcentral is "long non-coding RNA (SVIR_LNC003680)". The record is from RNAcentral. Lineage: Eukaryota; Viridiplantae; Streptophyta; Magnoliopsida; Poales; Poaceae.
CAUAAUCCAGGAAUGUAGUAGAUUACCGAGGGGAGAAAGGGGAAGGGAAAGUUUCCCCUCCCUACUAUGAAAGAUGAUAAAUCCUUCUUACACAGGGGAUGAUCUUUUUUGAAAAAAAAGCACCCCAAAGAGAUUGUAGAUCCAUUCAUUAGUAUUUUCUUUGUCUCAUAUGCUUUUUUCAAAUCAAUCAUUGUUAGUGGCAAAGGUCGGUGACAUAAGCCAUUAAGUACAGUUACUUUUGGGUUUUGAACCAGGCGCAAUGUGUUAAAUCAUGUCAUUAUCAUUGGCACAAAUUAGUUAGUACUCCCUCCAUUCCAUGAAAAGUGCAAUCCUGGCAUUUGAAAAAAAAAUCCUACAAAAGAAUGUGGAAUUGGAUGCAUCUAUGUGCUUAAUUAAG